UGUCAGUAUUAUAGGAACAAACAAGGCGGAAGGAAUUAAUUAAUUUUUAAUUUAUUUGAUUGGUGGUUGGAGCCUGUGGCAGUAUGUGUUGUCAGUAUAUUCUUUGAAGAGGAGAGGAGACUGGCGAAAAAUAGUUUGUUUUUCUUUAAAGUAGCACUGCUUUUAUUGGCAAAUGGCUCGUGGAUUUUAAAUUUAAGUAAAAGGUGGACAGUAUGAAUUGGAACAUGGGCCCACAGGGUGGUGUGUUGGAAAAGCGGUUCCAAAAAAGUGGCAGCUAACUCGGAUUCUCUUUUUUGAGAUGCUUCUUGCUCCAGACCGAGCAGGGUGUGCAGUAAGGGUGAUUGAGCCGAGAUGGCUUGAGCUCGGAGCAGCUUGAAUACUUGGGUCUUGCCAGGCGACAAGGGAUAUAAGGAUCAGAGAGAAGCAGUCUGCAGUAUGGAUUCGGAUGGCAAGUCAAUGAGGAGAAGAACCUGUGGCUUGAAUCAUAAAAUGUUUGGUCAACUGUUUUGAGGGAUUAGAUUCUUUUAAGCUGGAUGUCGGAUACCAAUGAGCCCCAGACUGCUCGUUCCCUUAGUGGUAACGCUAAGUGGAGAAGCCAAUUAAAUGGUAACGCUAAAUAAAUGGCAACGCUUAGUAUACUAGAAUAUACUGGAGUGAACAUGGAAUUAUUUAGUUACCAAUUCUGGUCACACUACGUUUGGAAAAGCUCUUUCUCAUCAUGGCGAUGAGCUGUCUCUUGCAGCUGUCGCGCUCGUCUCAUCCAGGGUCUGCACCGAAUUGGAGCGUCGUCUGUGUUGAGUGUACAAUGCGAGCAUGUUGCACUUACCCGUUGGUGGUUAUGUGAAGCAGCGAGUCGUCUGCCCCCAGGGCAGUGUUGCCAUUUUAGCUUAGCUAUUUUGAAACUGCAAAAGCUAUAAGAUUUUGUGAAAUGCUAUUAGCUAGAAAUCUAGCAUUUUUUUCAAAGCUUCGGCUACUUUUGGCACUUUUUAAAAAGUUCCGAUAGCUCUUUUACCGAUAGGAUGUAUUUUGAGGUUUACUCACAAAAAUUUGCAUUAUAGUGUGAUUCUGUUUAUAGUUCAUGUGCGAACUUAGUUCGUUCACUCAUUAGCUAAAUACAAAUUGUGAAAUUGUAAAAUCUGUGAAGCAGUGCUGCUAGUGUAGCAAUUUAGUUGCUUUAGUUAAUUUGCAACUUUUAAACUUAAAAAUGCUAUUAGCUACAAAUUUAGCAACUUUUUAUUUCUCUUUUGGCAAUUUGAGCUAUUUUACUUAAAUCCUUUUUAUUAUGUAUUCCUUUUGUCAUUUACUGCAAAAAUUGCGAUUAACAGUUUGCAAUGAAAUCGGGGCUUGUAUUUAACCAUGUGGUUCGAUUAUAUGAGCUACUUGAGUUCACUGUAAUAUUUGUUAAUCCUGUUUUUUUUUUUUUAAUUUCAAGAUUUUAUUCUUAAAUGAAUUAAAAAUGUACAAACUUGAUGAAUAAUGCCAUUUAAAAUAUUUAGCAAUUUUGUUGGCUAUUUUUUGUAUAAUUUUAGCAAUUUUUAGCAAUUUUUUUUCUGAAAUCCAGCAAUUUUUGCUCCAGAGAGUCUGGCAACAGGGUUUGUUGCUGCGUGUAGUGGUGUGUGUGCAUUUGCAUCUUGGGUGUAAGCUGUAUUUAUUAACGUUAUCGUUCUAUGAAAGUGGGCUGAGCACUGCGUCACAUGUGCUUCGUGGGGGCAGUGUAAUAGCGUCAGUUUUGUGUGUGGUUUGUAAUGGAGGCGUUCAAUUGUUGAGUGAAAUUUUAAUUUGUCUGCUUUUUAUUCCAGAGUAAAUCGCGCAGUUAAUUGCCGAUGGCCUUUUUCUUUCAAACGGGAAGUGUGAUUCUCCAUCUGUAGCCAAGAUGUCAGACCAUCUAAUUACGGGCGGGCAAUAAGUAGGCGCAAUUACAAUGAUAUCGUUUUUAUUGUUAUUCGCAGGCACGGUUGCCAUUUUUGGUACAAAUGUACCAAAAUUGGUACAUUUUUUAUGCGUUGGUACAUUGGAUCACUUUUUUUUCAUAUCGACUAGCACUGGAAAAUAUAGCAUACAGUCGAUUUGCGAUGUUUUGUGUCAGCCAAAUUUCUAAGCGAAGAAGAACUUUCCAUAGUACCUCUAAGAAAACCUUUGAAAAUUUAUACAAUGGUGAUCCUGAUGAUAUAAUAUCCCGACGUAACCAACUAGUUGCAGAGUUGCAACUCCGACUUUCUUUUAAGCAGGGAAAAGAAAUAAGAUAUUCGUAAAUUUUGGACAGACAUUGAAAGUAAAAAACGGCGUUGACGAACCGCUGUUCAGGAGCUUAAUAAAAUCCAUAAACAAUUUGAUGUCGUUGCCACACAGCUCUGCUGCAGCAGAGCGAAAGUUUUUUGAAAUUUCGUUAAUGAAAACUAAAUUACCAAAUAAAUUAGAAUUUAAAACACUAAAUAACUUAAUGUAUUGCAAGAAAUUGAUUGAUUGUAAAUACAUUCACUAUGUUUGGUCUACAAAAGACUGUUCAUUAU
Molecule: long non-coding RNA, 2510 nt
Organism: Drosophila nasuta
Lineage: Eukaryota; Metazoa; Arthropoda; Insecta; Diptera; Drosophilidae
Exons: 8
Source: RefSeq, a predicted model, not a curated record